CUCUGGAAUUUGUUGUCCACAGUUGCAGCCAGCACCUUGGAUUUUCUGCAGCUUCAAUGAGAUAUACAAGAUAUUGACAAGAUCUAGGGCUGCUCUGACUUUAGACCUUAUUCCUGAGAGCCUAGUGACCCUUCACCAAGGUUGGGCCUAUGACACAGCAAUCACACGCCAUGCCAUCCUGACCAGCCAAGUACCCAGAGAAACCUGUUGGCAUGAAGUACAGACUGGAGAUGACAUCAUCUGAUGUGCUGGAUUGCAGUCCUGACUGGUGCCACGUGAUUCUGAAAGUGAUGCAAGCUGGAGAGUGAACCCUUUCCUUUUCUUCCAUUCACUAACUUUCUUCUUUUUUUUUUGUUUUUCUCUCCCUUGUUACUUUUUGUAACCACUUUAAGGUGCAAGUGAGAGUGUGUGUGUGUUUUGAAAUGUUAGCUUGUGUGUAUACAUUUAUAGUAGGAAGAUACAAUUAGUCAUUUCCUAACCCAAUUUCUAAAGACCCACCCCCGCUAAAUCCCAGAAUUGUAAAAUAGUGUUAACAGAACCACUCCAUUCUGAGAAGGGGAAGAAAGUCGUGGUGACCAACGUAUAUCAAAAGUGGCUGAAUUAGGCCAGGGAGGAAUAGUGUGGUUAUUUAUAUAAUUUUGUGGGACUAUUCCAGGGAUUAGGAGCAUAAGUGUGAUCUUGUUUCAACCUGUAUGAUUCCUGGAAAAUCAUUAGCAUGCUUACUUGUAAUCCUUGUCAUUUUAGCUACAAAAAACCAUUGGUAAAGCAGAGGACCUAUCCACCUUUGUGUUAAUUGUUUUUCAGGAACUUGAGCAAGAUGCAAUACACUUAGGUGCCUGAUAAGUGAAGCAGU
This is a long non-coding RNA of Alligator sinensis (Chinese alligator), 853 nucleotides long. RefSeq lists it as uncharacterized. The transcript is spliced from 3 exons. The record is from RefSeq and is a predicted model, not a curated record. NCBI's taxonomy places the organism in Eukaryota, Metazoa, Chordata, Crocodylia, Alligatoridae.